This 71-nucleotide transfer RNA is filed under the name Tupanvirus deep ocean. RNAcentral's name for it is "tRNA-Lys". It matches the Rfam family "tRNA". Rfam says of the family: Transfer RNA (tRNA) molecules are approximately 80 nucleotides in length. Their secondary structure includes four short double-helical elements and three loops (D, anti-codon, and T loops). Further hydrogen bonds mediate the characteristic L-shaped molecular structure. tRNAs have two regions of fundamental functional importance: the anti-codon, which is responsible for specific mRNA codon recognition, and the 3' end, to which the tRNAs corresponding amino acid is attached (by aminoacyl-tRNA synthetases). tRNAs cope with the degeneracy of the genetic code in two manners: having more than one tRNA (with a specific anti-codon) for a particular amino acid; and 'wobble' base-pairing, i.e. permitting non-standard base-pairing at the 3rd anti-codon position. The record is from RNAcentral. RNAcentral also lists the same sequence under 1 other name. Lineage: Varidnaviria; Bamfordvirae; Nucleocytoviricota; Megaviricetes; Imitervirales; Mimiviridae.
GCUCUGAUAAUUCAGUGGUAGAAUGGUAGGCUUUUAACCUGCUAACCUGGGUUCGAUUCCCAGUCAGGGCA